GAUGAAUGCUGGCGGCGUGCCUAAUACAUGCAAGUCGAGCGGUAAGGCCCUUCGGGUACGACGAGCGGCGGACGGCUGAGUAACGCGUGGGAACAUGCCCCAAAGUGAGGGAUAACGCACCGAAAGGUGUGCUAAUACCGCAUAUGGUCUUCGGAUUAAAGGAUUUAUCCGCUUUGGGAGUGGCCCGCGUACGGUUAGAUUGUUGGUGAGGUAACGGCUCACCAAGUCGACGAUCGUUAACUGGUCUGAGAGGAUGAUCAGUCAGACUGGAACUGAGACACGGUCCAGACUCCUACGGGAGGCAGCAGUAAGGAAUCUUCCACAAUGGGCGAAAGCCUGAUGGAGCAACGCCGCGUGCAGGAUGAAGGCCUCGGGUCGUAACUAGCUUUAUGAGUGAAGAAUAUGACGGUAACGUCAUGAA
RNAcentral lists this ribosomal RNA (421 nucleotides) under uncultured bacterium. RNAcentral describes it as "bacterial SSU rRNA". It matches the Rfam family "Bacterial small subunit ribosomal RNA", at positions 28 to 486 of the family's 1533-position model. The record is from RNAcentral.